RNAcentral lists this ribosomal RNA (640 nucleotides) under uncultured bacterium. Its description in RNAcentral is "bacterial SSU rRNA". It matches the Rfam family "Bacterial small subunit ribosomal RNA", at positions 202 to 842 of the family's 1533-position model. The record is from RNAcentral.
GAAAGAUUCAUCGGAAGAGGAUGGGCAUGCGGCGCAUUAGCUAGACGGCGGGGUAACGGCCCACCGUGGCGACGAUGCGUAGGGGUUCUGAGAGGAAGGUCCCCCACACUGGUACUGAGACACGGACCAGACUCCUACGGGAGGCAGCAGUGAGGAAUAUUGGUCAAUGGGAGAGAUCCUGAACCAGCCAAGCCGCGUGAGGGAAGACGGCCCUAUGGGUUGUAAACCUCUUUUGUCGGAGAACAAAACCCGGGACGAGUCCCGGACUGCGUGUAUCCGAAGAAAAAGCAUCGGCUAACUCCGUGCCAGCAGCCGCGGUAAUACGGAGGAUGCGAGCGUUAUCCGGAUUUAUUGGGUUUAAAGGGUGCGUAGGCGGUCCGUUAAGUCAGCGGUAAAAUUGCGGGGCUCAACCCCGUCGAGCCGUUGAAACUGGCAGACUUGAGUUGGCGAGAAGUACGCGGAAUGCGCGGUGUAGCGGUGAAAUGCAUAGAUAUCGCGCAGAACUCCGAUUGCGAAGGCAGCGUACCGGCGCCAGACUGACGCUGAGGCACGAAAGCGUGGGGAUCGAACAGGAUUAGAUACCCUGGUAGUCCACGCAGUAAACGAUGAAUGCUGGUUGUCCGGGUCGAAUGAGAUCUGG